GGAUAGACGAAGUAUUUUCAACGUGUGUUUUGCUUUAGAGUGAAACCUUUUCAAAAUUUCUCAUUAGGCAGAUUACCCUAAGAACUUACAACGAAAUUUGCGUACAUUUUUCAAAUAAAACAUGCCAAUUUCUGGAGCCUGGAGGUAAGCUGGCUUCC
Caenorhabditis elegans is the source of this 158-nucleotide small nucleolar RNA. The record is from Ensembl. Lineage: Eukaryota; Metazoa; Nematoda; Chromadorea; Rhabditida; Rhabditidae.